RNAcentral lists this unclassified non-coding RNA (335 nucleotides) under uncultured Gammaproteobacteria bacterium. RNAcentral describes it as "contains 16S-23S intergenic spacer region". It matches the Rfam family "Bacterial small subunit ribosomal RNA", at positions 859 to 1194 of the family's 1533-position model. Lineage: Bacteria; Pseudomonadati; Pseudomonadota; Gammaproteobacteria. The record is from RNAcentral.
UCCGAGUUGACCGCCUGGGGAGUACGGCCGCAAGGUUAAAACUCAAAGGAAUUGACGGGGACCCGCACAAGCGGUGGAUUAUGUGGAUUAAUUCGAUGCAACGCGAAAAACCUUACCUACCCUUGACUUGUACGGAACCCCGCAGAGAUGCGGGGGUGCCCGAAAGGGAGCCGUAACACAGGUGCUGCAUGGCUGUCGUCAGCUCGUGUCGUGAGAUGUUGGGUUAAGUCCCGCAACGAGCGCAACCCUUGUCAUUAGUUGCUACAUUCAGUUGGGCACUCUAAUGAGACUGCCGGUGACAAACCGGAGGAAGGUGGGGAUGACGUUCGUCUGAC